UUACUGAGUGGAGGGCCUCCGGGUCCGACCUCCAACCCUUUUGUGAACCACCUCUGUUGCCUCGGGGGCGACCCCGCCGUUCGCGCGGCGGCGGCGCCCCCGGUGGCCCAAUCAAAACCUCGCGUAACUUUAGUGUCGGAGUAUUGAAUAAAUCAAUCAAAACUUUCAACAACGGAUCUCUUGGUUCUGGCAUCGAUGAAGAACGCAGCGAAAUGCGAUAAGUAAUGUGAAUUGCAGAAUUCAGUGAAUCAUCGAAUCUUUGAACGCACAUUGCGCCCCUUGGUAUUCCGGGGGGCAUGCCUGUUCGAGCGUCAUUUCACCACUCAAGCCUGGCUUGGUAUUGGGCGCCGCGGGACUCCCGCGCGCCUUAAAGUCUUUUUUUCCGGCUGAGCGACCCGUCUCUAAGCGUUGUGGCAACUAUUCGCGGCGAGAUCGGGGGGCGGCGGCCGUUAAAUCAUUUCAUUCAGGUUGACCUCGGAUCAGGUAGGGAUACCCGCUGAACUUAAGCAUAUCAAUAAGCGGAGGAAAAGAAACCAACAGGGAUUGCCCUAGUAACGGCGAGUGAAGCGGCAACAGCUC
RNAcentral lists this ribosomal RNA (579 nucleotides) under fungal endophyte. Its description in RNAcentral is "eukaryotic LSU rRNA". The stretch from base 161 to 314 matches the Rfam family "5.8S ribosomal RNA". Lineage: Eukaryota; Fungi. The record is from RNAcentral.